This 1119-nucleotide long non-coding RNA is filed under the name Oryctolagus cuniculus (rabbit). RNAcentral's name for it is "lncRNA (ENSOCUG00000031708.1)". Lineage: Eukaryota; Metazoa; Chordata; Mammalia; Lagomorpha; Leporidae. The record is from RNAcentral.
AUGCGGUUCAGUGCGAUGGGAUGCCUCCUCCAUCUGACUGGGGACUCGGGUCUCGGUUUAAGGUUCUCACUCAGCAGGUCCAGAUGCAGGGGUGCGAAAAGAAUCGAGGCUCCUUCAUACAUCCCAGCCCGCAGUUCCAGCGAAAUGACUGGCACGCCGUAUUCCCGGCCACUGCACCCCCCACCCUUUGCUCUGCCAAAAGGCUCGUCCCGUUACGGAAAUGCUAAGUCCCAACGGGCUGGAGAACCGAGCGGCACCGGUAAGGGUGCGGCCGCGCUGACAGCCAAGGUCCCAAGGCUGCGCAGGGGCUCCCGCGCCGCCCGCUGCGGGGGAGGGCGCAGCCCGCAAAGCGCUGCACGCGGCCCGCGCGAGGGGGCCCAGGCUAGUGGUUCGGCGGUGAUGUGGCUCUCGCCACCGCGUGGUCUGGUGCCGACCGCACACCACACCCUCACCCCCGCCAAGCCAGGGGUCCCAGCCUGCGCGCACCUGGCUGUGGGCGCGCCGGGUAGCGAGGCCCAGUCUUGCCCAGGGCCCAGGAAAAAAGCACAGCCCGCAGAUGAGGGCAGAGAACGGAACAAGCGGGUGGCCCAGGCGUGCUGGGGCCGUGGUCGCCCCCGCGGUCUCGCGCGGCCCGCAGACAGGCAAGCCCCUGCGCCCUUUGCGGGGCUGGCUAGGGCGCCGGCGAGGGCCUGGCUCCUUCGCAGCAGGCAAAGCCGCAGCGGCUGGCAGCGCGCCGCGUGUCUCUGCCGCGGCAAAGCGCUCUGCAGGGGCGGGGCGGGCGUUUCUGGCCCCUGGCCCCGGCGUCCAGGCCUGAGCCCGCCGCGGGUUGGCCCGGCGCCCUGUUGUGCAAGUACCCAGCGUCGCCCGGCUGUGUGGGCGAUCCAGGAGGAUGGGCCCGCCCAGCUUAGGCCCACGGGGUGCGUGCCCAACUCUCGGCCUCGUCUGCCCUGCAUCCCUAACCCCUUUGCUGGUGAACCUGAAAAGCACCUGCGUCCUGGAACCCAAGGUUUGGAGCAUGGUAGCUUUAGAAGGCUUUAUAAAGUUCAUGCAAAAUGCGUAAUACGGAAAAAAAAAAUUGGCAUGGGUUCCCCCCCUCCAAAAAAUUUUACACCAAAAUAA